RNAcentral lists this transfer RNA (77 nucleotides) under Ovis aries (sheep). It matches the Rfam family "tRNA". Rfam says of the family: Transfer RNA (tRNA) molecules are approximately 80 nucleotides in length. Their secondary structure includes four short double-helical elements and three loops (D, anti-codon, and T loops). Lineage: Eukaryota; Metazoa; Chordata; Mammalia; Artiodactyla; Bovidae. The record is from Rfam by way of RNAcentral.
UCCCUGGUGGUCCAGUGGUAAGACUCUGCACUCCUAAUGCAGGGCAUUGGGGCUGGGUUUGAUCCCUUGUCAGAGAA